AGAGUUUGAUCCUGGCUCAGGAUGAACGCCGGCGGUGUGCCUAAUACAUGCAAGUCGUACGCACUGGCCCAACUGAUUGAUGGUGCUUGCACCUGAUUGACGUUGGAUCACCAGUGAGUGGCGGACGGGUGAGUAACACGUAGGUAACCUGCCCCGGAGCGGGGGAUAACAUUUGGAAACAGAUGCUAAUACCGCAUAACAACAAAAGCCACAUGGCUUUUGUUUGAAAGAUGGCUUUGGCUAUCACUCUGGGAUGGACCUGCGGUGCAUUAGCUAGUUGGUAAGGUAACGGCUUACCAAGGCGAUGAUGCAUAGCCGAGUUGAGAGACUGAUCGGCCACAAUGGAACUGAGACACGGUCCAUACUCCUACGGGAGGCAGCAGUAGGGAAUCUUCCACAAUGGGCGCAAGCCUGAUGGAGCAACACCGCGUGAGUGAAGAAGGGUUUCGGCUCGUAAAGCUCUGUUGUUGGAGAAGAACGUGCGUGAGAGUAACUGUUCACGCAGUGACGGUAUCCAACCAGAAAGUCACGGCUAACUACGUGCCAGCAGCCGCGGUAAUACGUAGGUGGCAAGCGUUAUCCGGAUUUAUUGGGCGUAAAGCGAGCGCAGGCGGUUGCUUAGGUCUGAUGUGAAAGCCUUCGGCUUAACCGAAGAAGUGCAUCGGAAACCGGGCGACUUGAGUGCAGAAGAGGACAGUGGAACUCCAUGUGUAGCGGUGGAAUGCGUAGAUAUAUGGAAGAACACCAGUGGCGAAGGCGGCUUUCUGGACUGAAACUGACGCUGAGGCACGAAAGCGUGGGGAGCGAACAGGAUUAGAUACCCUGGUAGUCCACGCCGUAAACGAUGAGUGCUAGGUGUCGGGGAGGAAUCCCCGGUGCCGCAGCUAACGCAAUAAGCACUCCACCUGGGGAGUACGACCGCAAGGUUGAAACUCAAAGGAAUUGACGGGGGCCCGCACAAGCGGUGGAGCAUGUGGUUUAAUUCGAAGCAACGCGAAGAACCUUACCAAGGCUUGACAUCCCGAUGACAGGCGUAGAGAUACGUUUUCCCUUCGGGGCAUUGGUGACAGGUGGUGCAUGGUUGUCGUCAGCUCGUGUCGUGAGAUGUUGGGUUAAGUCCCGCAACGAGCGCAACCCUUGUCAUUAGUUGCCAUCAUUAAGUUGGGCACUCUAAUGAGACUGCCGGUGACAAACCGGAGGAAGGUGGGGAUGACGUCAAGUCAUCAUGCCCCUUAUGACCUGGGCUACACACGUGCUACAAUGGACGGUACAACGAGAAGCGAACCUGCGAAGGCAAGCGGAUCUCUUAAAGCUGUUCUCAGUUCGGACUGUAGGCUGCAACUCGCCUACACGAAGCUGGAAUCGCUAGUAAUCGCGGAUCAGCACGCCGCGGUGAAUACGUUCCCGGGCCUUGUACACACCGCCCGUCA
RNAcentral lists this ribosomal RNA (1430 nucleotides) under uncultured bacterium. RNAcentral describes it as "bacterial SSU rRNA". It matches the Rfam family "Bacterial small subunit ribosomal RNA". The record is from RNAcentral.